UGGGGAAUAUUGGACAAUGGGCGCAAGCCUGAUCCAGCCAUACCGCGUGGGUGAAGAAGGCCUUCGGGUUGUAAAGCCCUUUUGUUGGGAAAGAAAAGCAAUCGAUUAAUACCCGGUUGUUCUGACGGUACCCAAAGAAUAAGCACCGGCUAACUUCGUGCCAGCAGCCGCGGUAAUACGAAGGGUGCAAGCGUUACUCGGAAUUACUGGGCGUAAAGCGUGCGUAGGUGGUUGUUUAAGUCUGUUGUGAAAGCCCUGGGCUCAACCUGGGAAUUGCAGUGGAUACUGGGCAACUAGAGUGUGGUAGAGGGUAGUGGAAUUCCCGGUGUAGCAGUGAAAUGCGUAGAGAUCGGGAGGAACAUCCAUGGCGAAGGCAGCUACCUGGACCAACACUGACACUGAGGCACGAAAGCGUGGGGAGCAAACAGG
RNAcentral lists this ribosomal RNA (429 nucleotides) under bacterium. Its description in RNAcentral is "partial 16S ribosomal RNA". It matches the Rfam family "Bacterial small subunit ribosomal RNA", at positions 355 to 776 of the family's 1533-position model. RNAcentral also lists the same sequence under 2 other names. The record is from RNAcentral.